AUGGAGGUCGUCCGCACCGUCGGGAGUGUAGCGGGGUGCAUCAACAAGCUGGUUAACCUUAUAGAGAAACACAAGAAGCGCGCCCGCGACCUCACCGGGGGCCUCAAAUCCAUGAAGGCUGAUUUCGAUAUCAUAAUGGAUCUGCGCUUGGAAAAAGAGAAGCAGAAGCUGCAGCUGACACCGGGAAUGCAAUUGCAGCUGCAGGAGCUGGCUUAUGAUAUCGAUGACUUCGUGCAAGGUCUCUGGGUUCCCGGACCAUGUAGCUCCUUCGUCCUCGCAGCGACCGGGUGGGACUCUCGUGCUCUGCUUAUUGAUCGCAUCGGAGAUUUCAAGGAACGCAUCAAGAAUCUCAAAGAUGAGCUGCCAAAGGGAUUUGAACCAGUGCCGAUCGCAGGAGCUUCAACACCAGCCGGCUCAUCUUCGUCAGCUGGAUCCCCUGUUUCUUGUGCUCAAGAGCUAGAUCUCGUGGGCAUUGAGGGUCCCAAACUGGAGAUUCAAAAGCUGCUCUCCCUAGGCAUUGAGCCCCAUCGAGGGAGAUUAAGCGUCAUCUCCAUUGUGGGAUGCAGCGGCUCCGGAAAGACUGCCCUCGCAAGGGCGCUCUAUCAAGACGAUGCUGUCACCAAGAAUUUCCAUUACAAGGCAUGGGUUGUGGCAUCUGACCACAACCCUGCGGACAUUCUAAGCAAGAUUCGCCAGCAAGUUAGACCGACAUCAACACUUGGAAGUAACUCUGAAGAUGAUUCAGACCACUUCCAGAAGAACAAAAGGUACCUGGUCUUUGUCGAUGAUGUGCAGCGAGUGACAUCAUGGAAGGACAUAAGUAAUGCAUUCCGUGAAAAUGUCAUGGACAGCAGAAUCAUUGUGACCACAAGUGUUCCUUCUGUCGCCAGGGCACGCAGCUCAGGCAGUUAUAUGUACACAGUGAAAGGACUGGACAUGGAAAAUUCAAGAAGACUAUUUUGGGCAAAGUUCUGGCAAGAUGAUGGCUACUCAGCGGAAGAUGAAGCUGGCUUGUGCAACAAUGAUAAUGUUGAUAUCAUCAUCAACAAAUGUGAUGGCUUGCCGAUGGCGUUGAUCAGCGCAGCUAAAUAUUUGAGAGAGAAAGGACCAAAUCCAACAGUCGAAAAUUUUAAGCAAGUGAGCCAAGAACUUCGCGAUUGUCUGGCAUGUUGUGAGACCACCUCUGAGGAUUUCUCAGCAUUUGCACAAAUGAGAAAGGCGCUUGUCGAACCCUACGAGAAGCUCAAACAUGGUGAGAAAGAGUGCUUACUUUAUGUAAGCAUAUUUUCCCAUGGCCAUCAGACAACCACCAAGAGUCUCGUCAGAAGAUUAAUAGCUGAAGGAUUGGUUCCCAGGGACGAUGAUGUAAUAAAAGAUUCAGAGUCGGUUGUUGGAGAUGUCCGUGAGUGUUUGAGAAAAUUAAUGGACCAUAGUAUGAUUGAGCCUAUUCCGGUUCGCAACUAUACCAAUGUUGCUAAGAGGUGCCGAGUGCAUAGUAUAAUGCUGGAGUUUACCAUCAAGAAGGCUGUGUCCAGAAACUUUGUGAGUCUGAUUCACGAGGAGAAGGCUCUGCGUAGUAAAACUGGCAAAGUCCGCCGACUCACUGUUCAGUCCAGCCCUGAUGUACGCAGUGGACAUCCAGAGAAAAUGGAUCUGUCUGUUCUCCGGUCAUUAGCCAUCUUCAAGAGUGGAAUUGUAGAUUUCGAGGAAUGCAAGCUUGUGAGAGUCUUGAACCUCCAAGGUUGCAAUCAGCUUACACGGGAGGAUCUGGAUAAGAUAAGCGGGUUGCUGUUUCUCAAGUAUCUAAGCCUCAGAAAUACCAACAUCCAGGAGCUUCCAGAUAAUGUGAAGGAACUCAAGUUUUUAGAGACACUGGACACUCGGGAUACAGGGGUGAAAAAAUUUCCCGUGGAAGUCAUCAUGCUGCCACGGUUUGCUUACCUAUUUGGCAAGUAUGAGCUAACUAACGUGGACAGUAAAAAUAUGAAGAAGCUUACCAAGUUCUUUUCAGAAAAGGACAGUCAGCUGCACACUCUUGGUGCAAUAUCUGUCGACAAGACAAAAGAUUUAGAGAUUGUUCUGCUUGUUGUACAACAUGCCAGAGAGCUGAAGAAGGUUAAACUGUGGUACAAUCACACUCUAAACCUGGAAUCUCAGGACUUUUGGCAAACUGUGGUACGCCAGAGAGCUCGUAGCAAACUGGCGGAGAACCUGGAAUCCACUAUUAAGAAGCGUCCUAUCAAAUGUAUGCAUCUCGAGUCUGUGUCCAUUGAUUUCAAUGGUGUCCCCAAUAGCUUCCUUGGUUUUCUCAGGACUUUUGGUAAUAUUGGUUCCAUCAAACUACGGAAAGGAUCGGGAAGUAUUCCAAGGAUUGAGGAGUUACAACAGGUACGUGAUCUCCAGAAACUGCACCUCUUCUCAACUGGUCUCAGAAGUGAACAACUGGGAGCCCUGCAGCACUUGCAAUGCCUGCAAUAUCUCAAGCUCUCAGAGGAUCGGAACAAACUAUGGAACAGCAUCUUUCGUGUGGAAGCUGGUGGGUUCAAAAGCCUCAUCUGGCUGUGCUUUGAGGCCUCAGGCCCAAACUCAAAGCAUCCGCCUGUGCUGAUCGACCAAGGAGUCAAGACCCCUCUCGCCACUCUUCAGCUGCUUUGCAAGGGAGGUCCUCACGAGGGAACCGGGGAACCGCUUGGAGUGGUUGGCAUAUCACGUCUGUUAAAGCUCAACGAGGUGAUACUCCACCAUUCUGCUGCCGACAAUGCGGUGGGAGUAUGGAAACAAGCAGCAGAGGGACACAUCAACAAGCCGUAUGUGGAGAAGCAACAGCUAUAA
RNAcentral lists this ribosomal RNA (2832 nucleotides) under Triticum aestivum (bread wheat). RNAcentral's name for it is "partial small subunit ribosomal RNA". The record is from RNAcentral. Lineage: Eukaryota; Viridiplantae; Streptophyta; Magnoliopsida; Poales; Poaceae.